RNAcentral lists this long non-coding RNA (7097 nucleotides) under Capsicum annuum. RNAcentral's name for it is "long non-coding RNA (CANN_LNC003816)". Lineage: Eukaryota; Viridiplantae; Streptophyta; Magnoliopsida; Solanales; Solanaceae. The record is from RNAcentral.
AGCAUUAACAAGUGGUUCUGUGAAUGUGGUUUCCCUCCCCCUUAUUCCAUCUGGAGUGGAAGACAUUUACGAUACCCGCUCAACUUGAGCUUCACUCUGAUUAACUUGUACAGGUGGUGACUUACAAAUCCCUUCUUCGGUAGCUACGUCUACCCGCUCGCCGGUAUUCUUACUUUCGGUAUCCGGCAUUCUUACUGUAAUAAGAGAAACAAAUGGAUUCAGUGGCCAACUAUGACUUCGUUUGCUAUAUAAACUCUAUGGCACGAUCUAUGAUCUGAAUAAAAGAAAUAAUUUCCUACAUGUCCAUAGCCUUCUGUUUAUAGAUGUGGUGCACAACACACCGAUAAACAAGACUCUACGUAGACACGGCUUUGUAGACUCACUAGGACGAACCUCUCUGAUACCACUUUUGUCACGCCCCAAAAUCCCAUCGGGACGGACUGACACCCAAAGCCGAGAAGGCCCGGGAGAACCCGUUUAGAUACCUGUACUUUCACUUACAUGUCACCAAAAAUUUAGACAGCACUUCGUUGCAUAUAGAAGGGUCUAAUUACCUGUAUCAGCACAACACGCACAAAUAUAUAUAUAUACAUAUAAUACUUGGCCGUCGGGGCCACCACAUAUACAAAUAUAACAUCACUAUAUAAACUUCCAUGACUUUACCCUUCCUUAUGUCUACAAAGCCUCUAGGAUAUACAUGACAUAACUAGGGUCGGGACAAACCCCCGCCCACACAUGACUCAUGUACAAUAACAAAACAUAAGGAACCGACUCGGAAAGCUCCGAAGCAAACUGGAGCUCACCAACAAUAGCUGUAUGACCUGGCUCCUACUUGUGCGGUGUAUGAGCUGAGGUACCUGUGCCUGCAGCAUGAAAUGCAGGUCCCCCGUGAGGGACGUCAGUACGAAAUAUGUACUGAGUAUGUAAAGCUGUAAAUAAUCACAUAUGAUAUAGGAGCUCAAUAGAAAUCAGAAACAAGUGAAUAAGUCGUAAUAGGAGUGGACCACACUUACUAGAACUUGUGACAACCUGUACAUUGUAUUUAUUCAAUCACUUUACCUUCGUUCUUAUCGUCUUUGUAAUCAUUACUGUACUGUACUGUGACCAUUAGGAUGCCUCCAGUACAUAUCAACUGGGAUCGACCCAUGCUAGGCUUAUGCCCCUGGGAUACCACCCAUAAACACAUGAAAUAGGGAUCGACCCAUGCUAGGCUUAUGCCCCUGGGAUACCACCCGAUAAGAGAGAACUCCCAUCACUUAGUUCAAUUAAUCUUUGAGAUUGUUAUUUCGGUCGCCACCACAUUUUUGAUACUUUGAAACAAUGAUACAUCAAUAGGAACCAAGUAAUAGACCUUCUAUACAAUAACGAUGUAAUAAAGACUCAUUGGUACAUCAACAAUGUGUUUCAGAAUCAUCAAUAUCACAACAAUGAAAUAAGAGCCUUUUGGUAUAUCAAUGAAACAUUUUGACACUUUAUAGAAUGGAAACAACUUCGUUGGUAACGUAGAACAAUACAUGUUUUUGGACAACCUCGGAAUCUUACUUGAUGGAACAUUGGUGUUUUCAUGCCAAAGAACAUUGUUAGAGUAUGCUUUACAUACCUCGUUGUAGAUUCAGAUACCAAUUCAACACAACUUCCCGCCUUUACAAAUCACUUAUCUACAAUGAAAUGUUUGGCAUCUAGUAUUAGCAACCCAACACCACAAUUCUCUUCCAUAAUUCCAUACUACCAAUAUUUGCAAAACAUUCCAAAAACCAACUUGAACAAUAGGUUUAUGUGUGUAUAUAUAUAUAAUCAUCAUUUCAAUACCACAUCAUCAAUACCACAUCAUCACCCCAAAUUCCUUCACAAUUUAACAUAAUCCAACCAUGCACAAGAAUAAUCCAACAUCAUUUCCAAUCAUCUUUCAACAACAAUCAAAUAACAUACUUCUUAUGCUCACAUGCAUAUAUAUAUAUACAUAUCCAUAUAAAUAACACCAACAUAAUUUACAUCCUUACCAAAAAAAUGGCCCUUUUGAUUUCGAAGUCCUGUUGGCACAAAUAAGGGGUGCUUCUCGAAGCCCUUGAGACGGUGAACACAACUACGGAAUCAAUUUGGAUUUUCUACGGUUGAAUCACAAGAUAAUUGGAGUUGAAAUUUGGCUAGGGUUUCUUAGUUUUCAAUAAUGGAUGAUAAAUAAUGGAUAUGAGGCUAAGUAUAUGUAUAUAAUGACCAAUUUUCGUUCAAGAGGUGAUGGAAAAUGACCAUAUUGCCCUUAAAAAUUUAAGUAAAUCCGAAUCUGUCCAUGGUGGACUGUUUUGAUAGGCUAAAGUAAAUCGGCCAUAACUCUUUGCUCCGAUAUCGGAUUUGGGUGAAAUUGGUAUCGUUAGAAAGAUAAUUCAAAGGUAUUUCAUUUAAUAUAAAUUAAUCCACCCAGUUCGUCCUGUACAAGUAGUUAUGAUCGUUUGAAGUUGACCCUAAAAAUCUGUUUUGAGAGGCUGAAGUAAAACGAGUAUAACUCCUUACUCAGAUGUUGGAUUUGGAUGAAACCAAUUUCAUUGGAAAGAAGACUCAAAGAUCUUUCUUUUGAUAUAUGGUAGCUCAACCAGUUCAUUAUAUUGAGGGAGUUAUGAUCGUUCAAAGUUGACCCAAAAAACUGGCAGGCCUCAGUAGUUUCCUGCACAUUUUACUGUUCACAUCCCGGCCACCGUUUUAAAGUUUCGAACGAGCUCGCUUAUAUCCGAAACUUAUCCGUUUUUGGAAAUCUUUAUAUCGUUGGAAAGCUUAUUCAAUAACCUUCGUAUGGAACCAUCGACGGGAAAAUUCCGAUAUAAAUAAAGUCGAUUCCUAUACACCUAUAAUCAAACUAUACACUUGAAACCAUCUCAAAAUAAUCAAUACUCAUACUUAAACUCAUAUAUACCUAACUUAGGAUCAAUACAUAUACCCCAACACAUAUAACAAUGACUAAUGCACGUAAUUAAGUACGGGGUGUUACAUCCUUCCCCCCUUAAGGACAUUCGUCCUCGAAUGUGAAUGUAGUUAUUUAGCCGAAACAAGUUCAAGUCCACCAUUAACAUUCACAUCAUCACAUAAAUACUAUGCAUAUAUAAACAAAAACUUACUUGUUAAUGUUCUAACUCCGUUUCUUGAACUUCCUCUUCAUCUUUGAACAAAUGAGGGUACUUAGAUUUCAUUGCUUCCUCAGCUUCCCAUGUAAUCUCUUCCCUUUGUUGAUUUCUCCAAAGUACCUUUACUGAUGCCAUUUCUUUGUUCCUUAACUUUUUAACUUGGCGAUCUAGAAUAGCAACCGGUACCUCUUCAUAAGUAAGAUCCUCUGUGACCUGUACAUCUUCUAUAGGAGUGAUACGAGAGGGGUCACCUAUGCAUUUUCGAAGCAUUGACACAUGAAACACUGGAUGAACCAUUGAAAGUUCCUGGGGUAGCUCUAAUUCAUAUGCAACUUGUCCGACCCUCUUGGUAAUCUUAUAUGGCCCUAUGUAACGUGGGCUUAGUUUCCCUUUUUUACCAAAUCUCAUAACCCCUUUCAUUGGUGAUACCUUUAAAAAUACCCAAUCUCCAAUAGAGAAUUCCAGCCCUCUUCUCCGAAUAUCUGCAUAUGAUUUAUGACGACUUUGGGCUGUUUUUAGCCGUUGUUGUAUCACCUUGACUUUUUCUAUGGCUUGAUACACAAGAUCCGGUCCGAACAUAAGAGUUUCACCCGCUUCGAACCAUCCUAUUGGUGAUCUACACUUUCUCCCAUAUAAAGCUUCAUAUGGUGCCAUUUUGAUACUUGAAUGAUAGCUAUUAUUGUAGGCAAACUCAAUAAGAGGUAAAUGAUCAUCCCAGCUGCCUUUAAAAUCUAUAACACAUGCUCGUAGCAUAUCUUCAAGUGUUUGAAUGGUGCGCUCUGCUUGUCCAUCCGUCUGAGGGUGAAACCCACCUUCGUUGCCUCAGAUUUAGAUCCUUCUGACUAAAAAUAUAUUGUAAGCUCUUGUGAUCAGUAUAUAUAUCAACAUGAACCCCAUAUAAAUAGUGGCGCCAUAUUUUUAAAGCAAAGAUAACCGCUGCCAGCUCAAGAUCAUGUCUGGGGUAAUUUUUCUCAUGUGGCCUCAAUUGUCUUGAGGCAUAUGCUAUCACUUUGCCAUGCUGCAUUAAUACACAUCCUAAACCAAUUCUCGAAGCAUCAAAAUACACUGUAUACCCUUCUGUACCUUUUGGAAGUACCAACACAGGUGUAGAAGUCAACUUAUUCUUCAAUUCUUGGAAACUCUCCUCACACGCAUCAUUCCAUUGGAACUUGGAUGCUUUAUGCGUUAGCUUAGUUAAGGGUGCUGAAAUAGAAGAAAAACCCUCAACAAACUUUCUAUAAUAACCAGCCAACCCAAGAAAACUACGAAUCUCCGUAGGCGUUGUGGGCCUUGGCCAAUUCUUCACAGCUUCUAUCUUUUGAGUAUCAACCUGUAUGCCUUCAAUCACGAAGAGUUUGCAACGCCUGUCGCAAAUGAUUAGCAUGAUCCUCUUCUGAUCUAGAAUAAACUAGAAUAUCAUCAAUGAAAACUAUCACGGAUACAUCUAGAAAUGGCUUAAACACCCUAUUCAUUAAAUCCAUGAAAGCUGCAGGUGCAUUAGUUAGCCCAAAUGACAUAACUAGAAACUCAUAAUGACCAUACCUUGUUCGGAAAGCUGUUUUGGGUAUAUCUUUUUCUUUGACUCUCACUUGAUGAUAACCUGACCUCAAAUCAAUCUUAGAAAAACAUUUGGCACCCUGUAACUGAUCAAAUAAAUCAUCAAUUCUUGGAAGAGGAUAUUUAUUUUUAAGAGUCACUUUAUUCAGCUGCCUAUAAUCAAUACACAUUCUCAAUGUGCCAUCUUUCUUGCGCACAAACAGCACUGGUGCUCCCCAAGGGGAAAUACUAGGCCUAAUGAAUCCCUUUUCUAGCAAAUCUUUCAAUUGCUCUUUCAAUUCUCGUAAUUCUGCCGGGGCCAUCCUAUACGGAGGAAUUGAGAUUGGCUUAGUGCCUGGUAUCACAUCAAUACCAAAUUCUACUUCUCGUUCAGGAGGUAAACCUGGAAGAUCUUCAGGGAAUACAUCAAGAAAUUCACUUACUACUGGUAUAGUGUGAAGAUCUGGUGAUUCCGAUUCCGUAUCCUUUACUCUAACUAAAUGACAUAUGUAGCCCUUGGAAAUCAUUUUUCUCACUUUGAAAUAAGAAAUAAAUCUACCUCUUGGUGCGCCAAUCUUACCUUGCCAUUCAAUAACUGCUUCAUUAGGAAAAUGUAAAUACAUCUUUUUCGUACAACAGUCAAUUUUGACAUAACAAGACGCCAACCAAUCCAUACCCAUUAUAACAUCAAAAUCUACCAUUUCUAGUUCCACAAGAUUGGCCAUCGUGUCUCGACCACACACAGUUACUACACAAUCUUUAUAAACUUUUCUAGCAAUAAUAGAUUCCCCAACCGGGGUAGACACUUCCAAUGGCUUAUCUUACAAUUCGGGGGUUCUUUUGAACUUUUUAGCAACCAAAGGAGUAACAUAUGAUAAUGUAGAACCCGGAUCAAUUAAGGCAUAUACAUCAAAUGAAAAUAUGGGCAACGUACCCGUAACCACAUCUGGGGAAGCCUCUAGAUUCUGUCGAUCCACUAAAGCAUAAGUGUGAUCCUGAGUCCCGCUGGAACUUACGACUCCUUUUUCAUUUCUAGCGUCACCCGUAGGUUAUGCGCCUCUACCAGAAUAAGAUACCGGUGACGAUGAUGCAACAGCUGAUCCCGAAGGUCGUGCUACGCCACCUGCGCCCCUUCGUGGGCAUUCUCUCAUCAUAUGCCCCGUCAUACCGCACCAAAAACAAACAUUUGUUCCCAUUCGUCAUACGCCCAUAUGAUGCUUUCCGCAUCGAUUACAUAGCUCUUGAGAAGGUCUCGAUUGGCUCAUGUUCCCUUGCCCAUGAUAACCCACUGAUCGCGAACUAUGACUCUCACUUCUUUGCCCAAAUUGACUACCUCUGAACCCCUGAUGCUGUGGUGAAGCACUAGCUGCAGAAUAAGAAAAUAAUGGCCUAGGUGGUCUAGCAGAAAAUUGAGGUCUAAAACCUCCCUGUGGCGCCAUAAACUGCCCUGUAGAUCUGGACCUCUUAGAAGAUCCGCUUUCAAAUAACUGUGUUCUUUUUCUUUGCCUCUGAUCUUCCAUUUUCUGUGCAAAUGCUUGGAUCCUAGCUAUAUCCAUGUCUUUAUUCAGUGCAGCAAUAGUACAAUCCCUAACCAAAUACGGAUCCAAUCCAUCCACAUACCGAUGAACUCUGUCAUCCAUAGUAGCUAUAACAUUAGGAGCAUAUCUGGACAAGGAAUUAAAUCNNNNNNNNNNNNNNNNNNNNNNNNNNNNNNNNNNNNNNNNNNNNNNNNNNNNNNNNNNNNNNNNNNNNNNNNNNNNNNNNNNNNNNNNNNNNNNNNNNNNNNNNNNNNNNNNNNNNNNNNNNNNNNNNNNNNNNNCAACCAUUUCAGUUCUUCAUACCAAUAUAUAGCCUCACCUUUGAAUCUAUACGCGGCUAACUCCACUGUCUCUCUGCCCGAUACAUGCAUCACCUCUAGGGCCCUUUGGAUCUGAUCAAUAAAGUCCUGUGGAUCUUCGUUAAAAUCGAAUACGGUAAAAGUAGGCGGAUCCAUCUUAAGAAAAUCUUGCGUCCGAAGACUAGCCGCCCUAUCAGUACCGCUAGGACCCGCGACAGGAAUAGCUUGCCCUUGGACUUGACCGGCAACAAUCCGGGUCAACAGUUGUACUGCAUCCCUCAUAUCCUGAUCAGCAGCAUUAACAAGUGGUUCUGUGAAUGUGGUUUGCCUCCCCCUUAUUCCAUCUAGAGUGGAACACAUUUCAGAUACCCGAUCAACUUGAGCUUCACUCUGAUUAACUUGUACAGGUGGUGACUUACUAGUCCCUUCUCCGACAGCUACGUCUACCCGCUUGCCGGUAUUCUUACUUUCGGUAUCCGGCAUUCUUACUGUAAUAAGAGAAACAAAUGGAUUCAGUGGCCAACUAUGACUUCGUUUGCUAUAUAAACUCUAUGGCACGAUCUAUGAUCUGAAGAAAAAAAACAAUUUCCUAAAUGUCCAUAGCCUCNNNN